AAGAAGGGAAAGGGAGUUCACGUACCUGUAAAAAACGAGAGGGGAAAAUGCCUCUGGUACACUUGUUUAUUUUAGGCAGUUGGUGCACUUGAACUGGAGUUCACUCGGUGAUCUCACUUAAAAGCACUAGCAGUCUGCUGUAGUUCACAUCGCUCUAGCACUUGCAGCUCCAUCUUCAGCUUGCUAAGUCGACCCAGGAAGUCCAACCAGCAUCGUCCCGAGAUUCCACAACUUCAACUAAGGCAGCUGAGCGUCUCAUGCCCAGGUCAGCUUGCUACUCCUGGUGCUGAUCAAUAUGAACUGUGGUUGCUACUUUGGUUUUCUUCUGCACAUAUACUUCUAGGAGUAAAUUGAGUUGCUUCUGCACAUAAUAGUUGUACAGUGCACAUAAUAGCUCCGUGUUAUCCGGCGAACAAUGCCAUCUCAGGUUCGUUUACUCAUGCAUGUGAGUUCAUUUUCUCCCCAAGUUCAUUUUAUUACUGGAGUUCACUUUCUCUAUUGAAGUUCAGCUUUAUAUUUUCAUGAAGUCCAGUUUAUCCGCGUAUAAGUUAAAGGUUUAUUGACCACUGGUAUUGGUAUUAGCUCUGACUGAAAAUAAUUCAAAAUAGAAGUUCGCAUGAUUAUUUAAAGCAGUUCACUAAUUCGACUUGGACAGCUCACUUAGCGAAAAAAAACAUUGCACUUUAUUCGAUGUGAAUGGUAGUGUUGAUCUGUUGGCGAUUUUAUUCUGGCGACUUGCGCUACGCCUGCAAUAAUUUCACUCUUUGAUUUUGCUACUAAGUGCACUUCACCUUUUAUUCAAGUUCCCUUUUGGCUCCCAAUUUCUUUUUGUUCUAUAAUGCCUAAGUGAGAUCUGGUACCAGCCUGAUAUUAUCUAGUUUGGAAUAUAUGAAAUGCCAUAUCCAUUUUCUCUUAUAAUAGCAAAUAUUUGGUUUACGAGCAUAUAUUUUUGUACAGUGGUAAUCAACCUGAUGUUCUUCUUUUCCUAUUGCAGUUUCAUGUGCGAUGGUGAUAGUUUACGAUAAGAUAGGUGUCCAUUGUCCUGCGAGCUCGCUGCUGCUGCAUCAAUGUAGCAUAGUACAAGCUCGAACAAGUCCAAUCCGCCCUGCCUUCGGCGCUCAGGACUUCACCUUUUACAACACAUCUGUGCCUUGUGGGAGCAUGCGUUGCUCUCGGCGUGCCGGAGCUGUGAAGUUCGGGAGGGCAGAUUUUUAUAAGUCCACUUUUGAAGAAGUUUGUCGAAAGUUUUCUCUAGAAGCUAAAUUUUGUGUGUGCUGAAAAUUCAUUUUGUUCUGAAUGGCACGGUGCAAGUUUGAACUCCAAUUUCAUUUGAUUGGAAGUUCCAAUUCUACCAGCGGGAAGACUACUCUUUUGUCGGUUCACAAAUUUGAUUUCCCGCAGUACACGAUCAUACCAUAAUUUUUGUGGUAGGCUUGUUUAUUUUGGAUAGCUCAUCCGUUUGGUCA
Lolium perenne is the source of this 1466-nucleotide non-coding RNA. Lineage: Eukaryota; Viridiplantae; Streptophyta; Magnoliopsida; Poales; Poaceae. The record is from RefSeq and is a predicted model, not a curated record.